Molecule: ribosomal RNA, 1443 nt
Filed under: uncultured organism
Description: SSU rRNA
Rfam family: Bacterial small subunit ribosomal RNA
Source: RNAcentral
AGGCUUAACACAUGCAAGUCGAGGGGCAGCACAGGUAGCUUGACCGGGUGGGGACCGGCGCACAGGUGAGUAACGCGUAUGCAACUUGCCUAUCAUGAGGGGGAUAACCCGGCGAAAGUCGGACUAUUACCGCAUGAAGCGCGGAUCCCGCAUGGGAAUAUUUGCUAAAGAUUCAUCGCUGAUAAAUAGGCAUGCGUUCCAUUAGGCAGUUGGCGGGGUAACGGCCCACCAAACCGACAAUGGAUAGGGGUUCUGAGAGGAAGGUCCCCCACAUUGGUACUGAGACACGGACCAAACUCCUACGGGAGGCAGCAGUGAGGAAUAUUGGUCAAUGGGCGUAAGCCUGAACCAGCCAAGUCGCGUGAGGGAUGAAGGUUCUAUGGAUCGUAAACCUCUUUUAUAAGGGAAUAAAGUGCGGGACGUGUCCCGUUUUGUAUGUACCUUAUGAAUAAGGAUCGGCUAACUCCGUGCCAGCAGCCGCGGUAAUACGGAGGAUCCGAGCGUUAUCCGGAUUUAUUGGGUUUAAAGGGUGCGUAGGCGGCCUUUUAAGUCAGCGGUGAAAGUCUGUGGCUCAACCAUAGAAUUGCCGUUGAAACUGGGGGGCUUGAGUAUGUUUGAGGCAGGCGGAAUGCGUGGUGUAGCGGUGAAAUGCAUAGAUAUCACGCAGAACCCCGAUUGCGAAGGCAGCCUGCCAAGCCAUUACUGACGCUGAUGCACGAAAGCGUGGGGAUCAAACAGGAUUAGAUACCCUGGUAGUCCACGCAGUAAACGAUGAUCACUAGCUGUUUGCGAUACACUGUAAGCGGCACAGCGAAAGCGUUAAGUGAUCCACCUGGGAAGUACGCCGGCAACGGUGAAACUCAAAGGAAUUGACGGGGGCCCGCACAAGCGGAGGAACAUGUGGUUUAAUUCGAUGAUACGCGAGGAACCUUACCCGGGUUUGAACGCAUUCGGACCGAGGUGGAAACACCUUUUCUAGCAAUAGCCGUUUGCGAGGUGCUGCAUGGUUGUCGUCAGCUCGUGCCGUGAGGUGUCGGCUUAAGUGCCAUAACGAGCGCAACCCUUGCCACUAGUUACUAACAGGUAAAGCUGAGGACUCUGGUGGGGCUGCCAGCGUAAGCUGCGAGGAAGGCGGGGAUGACGUCAAAUCAGCACGGCCCUUACAUCCGGGGCGACACACGUGUUACAAUGGCGUGGACAAAGGGAAGCCACCUGGCGACAGGGAGCGAAUCCCCAAACCACGUCUCAGUUCGGAUCGGAGUCUGCAACCCGACUCCGUGAAGCUGGAUUCGCUAGUAAUCGCGCAUCAGCCAUGGCGCGGUGAAUACGUUCCCGGGCCUUGUACACACCGCCCGUCAAGCCAUGGGAGCCGGGGGUACCUGAAGUCCGUAACCGCGAGGAUCGGCCUAGGGUAAAACUGGUGACUGGGGCUAAGUCAUAACA